Molecule: ribosomal RNA, 94 nt
Filed under: Meleagris gallopavo (turkey)
Lineage: Eukaryota; Metazoa; Chordata; Aves; Galliformes; Phasianidae
Source: RNAcentral
CGCCCGAUCUCGUCCGAUCUCGGAAGCUAAGCAGGGUCGGGCCUGGUUAGUACUUGGAUGGGAGACCUCCUGGGAAUACCGGGUGCUGUAGGCU